UGGACUGGGGUCUCCUCUAGGGUCUUUAGGAUGAGGUCCUGAUGUACCUAUUUCACACUUUUGGCCUCCAGAGCUAUGAAAGAGCAAAUCUCUGUUGCUUUACAUCAUCUGAUGUGUGGAAACAUGCUAUUACGGAGUAGGAAGCUGGUAACAGGGGAUCAAUACUGACAGAGAAAGCAACACAGGAGAAAACAGGGCUUAAAUGAGAUGCAAGAAUGAUGGGGCGAGAAUCUGUGUAUCUGCGUGGAGGAGUACACUAGCCACAGGUCAGUCACGACUGUAUCUGCGUGGAGGAGUACAGCUAGCCACAGGUCAGUCAUGGCUGUGUGUUUGUGUGGAGGAGUACAACCCGCCACAAGUCAGUCAUGACUGUGUAUCUGCGUGGAGGAGUACAGCUAGCCACAGGUAAGUUCUACCUACUCACCACGGUCCCGCCCACCUCAUACUCAGCUGACCUCACACACUUACCCUUUGCGGACUCCACGACCCAGGGUCCUACCCUCAUCAACAAAGAAGGACUAUAAUCUGAAACCAGUCUGCUAGCUCGGCAAGCAGUAGCAGGCCAUCGUGUUCUGACGUACUAGUCUGCCCAGCACCAGCACUUGUAUUCUUCACAUGCUACUAGACACUUGUUAGCUGAGAUGAAAUAUGAAACAUGAAAUCAAGCAAUGUACAGCCAACCAUCCAGUGGAGUAUAGCUCAUCUACAGCAGUGCACAGCUGCCACCCCUAUCUGUUCCAGGACAUUUACAUCGCCCCAAAGGAAAUCCUGAAACCACUAAGCAAAAAUUCCCCAUUCGUCUCUCCUCCCAGGCACGAGAUACCACCAGUCUGCAUUUGACGUACACACUGGGAAUAUUUC
Molecule: long non-coding RNA, 861 nt
Organism: Mesocricetus auratus (golden hamster)
Lineage: Eukaryota; Metazoa; Chordata; Mammalia; Rodentia; Cricetidae
Exons: 3
Source: RefSeq, a predicted model, not a curated record